This 417-nucleotide ribosomal RNA is filed under the name uncultured bacterium. Its description in RNAcentral is "bacterial SSU rRNA". It matches the Rfam family "Bacterial small subunit ribosomal RNA", at positions 335 to 734 of the family's 1533-position model. The record is from RNAcentral.
ACUCCUACGGGAGGCAGCAGUGGGGAAUAUUGGACAAUGGGGGAAACCCUGAUCCACGCCAUGCCGCGUGCUGUGAAGAAGGCCAAUUCGGGGCUUUGGUUAAAGACACUUUUCAGUGGGGAGGAAAGGUUGAUGGUUAAUACCUAUCAGCUGUGACGUUACCCACAGAAGAAGCACCGGCUAACUCCGUGCCAGCAGCCGCGGUAAUACGGAGGGUGCAAGCGUUAAUCGGAAUUACUGGGCGUAAAGCGUGCGCAGGCGGUCUGUUAAGCGAGAUGUGAAAGCCCCGGGCUCAACCUGGGAACUGCAUUUCGAACUGGCAGACUAGAGUCUUGUAGAGGGGGUAGAAUCCAGGUGUAGCGGUGAAAUGCGUAGAGAUCUGGAGGAAUACCGGUGGCGAAGGCGGCCCCCCUGGAC